RNAcentral lists this non-coding RNA (24 nucleotides) under Arabidopsis thaliana (thale cress). The record is from RNAcentral. Lineage: Eukaryota; Viridiplantae; Streptophyta; Magnoliopsida; Brassicales; Brassicaceae.
ACAGAGUUCUAUUCGUUUACCACA